GGAUAGUUCAGUCGGUUAGAGCAUGGUGCUGAUAACAUCAACAAUGCAGGUUCGAUCCCCAUAUGGGACA
Podarcis lilfordi (Lilford's wall lizard) is the source of this 70-nucleotide non-coding RNA. NCBI's taxonomy places the organism in Eukaryota, Metazoa, Chordata, Lepidosauria, Squamata, Lacertidae. The record is from the annotation of a GenBank genome assembly.